CAUCCCUUGCAUGGUGGAGGGCGAGCUCUCUGAAAACUCCUCCCACAUGCAGGGUUUGCA
Molecule: microRNA precursor, 60 nt
Filed under: Rattus norvegicus (Norway rat)
Lineage: Eukaryota; Metazoa; Chordata; Mammalia; Rodentia; Muridae
Description: Rno-Mir-188-P2_pre stem-loop
Source: RNAcentral